RNAcentral lists this non-coding RNA (29 nucleotides) under Mus musculus (house mouse). Lineage: Eukaryota; Metazoa; Chordata; Mammalia; Rodentia; Muridae. The record is from RNAcentral.
UNCCCUGUGGCUUUUAUCCUACUAUUAAG